RNAcentral lists this long non-coding RNA (1987 nucleotides) under Numida meleagris (helmeted guineafowl). RNAcentral describes it as "lncRNA (ENSNMEG00000003361.1)". The record is from RNAcentral. Lineage: Eukaryota; Metazoa; Chordata; Aves; Galliformes; Numididae.
CUUUGGCACCAGCAGUUGAUUCAUGGGUCCUAUGUCAGACACAGAUUUGAAUUUCCUUGUUUAUCCUACGGUUGAAUCAUGAUUGUCUUGUUGCUCCCUCCCAUGAGAGCCAGUCAGGUAUUUCAAGCUUAUAUUAUAUUUGCUGGACCAGGGCUCAUUCUGUUCAGCUUGAAAUUAGCAUUGCUCGCGCAGCUUCUGUACGUCUCAGCCUCAUAGUCCUGAUCAGACCUUCAGGAUACAGCAGGGAGCCUGAAAGCUCCUCUUCACAGCUUUCAGAGGCUUUUAGUAUUAAAAGCCAAAGAACAAAAGAGUUUCUUCAGGCAAGAGUGAAAUCUCUUGAAGAAACCUCCCAGGGUUUGUUGCAGGAAGCUGUAUUUAAUACUGUGAUUACUGAUGUGCAACGGUGGGUCAACAGCAGAACAAGACUCAGCGUACAUUGUAUAUGGCACAGAGGGCUUGCUGCCAUACACAAUCACGAAUCACGCAGCAUAUCUGACAUCAGGGACUGCUACUGGCAACAACCUCACAGCAGACUUUUAGAGAUGUGGAUAUAUCCUGUUAUCAACUAAGCCCAAAGCUGGUUGGGUUUAUCCUCUUUGGUGCCUGCUAUGAAGGUGCUGAGCCCUUGUCCUGCCACAGGAGGUGACACGCUGAUUGACUGUCUUUAGAAGGUCUGAGAACUACGGUGAAGACAAGGCAGAUGAUCACUGUAAUGACAUACAACAGAAAGAGUAGGCUUUUUCUCCAGUUGGAACAGCAGUUGAAAGAGCAGAUUGUAAGAUAAAAUAAGACAAGGACUGGGGUCCAACAGACCUCAGCAUGGUAGUCUGCUCCCAGCUGUAGGCUGUAUAAACAUGAUAUAACAAGUUCCCUACCAGCUCAUCGUGCACCCAGGCUUGAUACGGGCAUGAGUGAGCAGUCUGCAUGCAGACACCUUCUGGAGCCUUUCUGGCUUUGGGCACAAAGCAUGACCAUGGACAGAGUGAUGUACUGAGGGCAUUCUAGUUCCCAAAACAGGAUUUGGGAGCUAGACAAAGAUUAUUCAUUGCUGGUUAUGGAUUUCAAGUCUGAGAACAUUAACUAAGUGGUACAGAUUUUCCCAGGAGUGCAGAAAUUCCAGAGUCUGAUCUGAAUCCCAAAUCGGAUACAUUUACUCUCACACUGAGGAAACUUCAAACUAAAUACAGAGGAAAGAUAAUAUCAGCAAUAUCAGUUGCAUGAAUAUCUACCAGACCUCUACAGGAAGGAUUCAUGGUCUCCGAAAGAUCCCACAACAUUAUUACUCUCAGUAUAAAACUGGUCAGCUCUGAGCUAGACAAGUUGUCAACUGAGUUUGUAGUCACACUUCUCCCAGCCAUGACCAUGAGCUCCAACCAGCAACAUCUGAUUUGGUACAAAAGGAAACAAGAAUGGAUUAUAGUUCUGACCCAAGGAAAAGACAAGCUGAUACACGAAUGCAAAUCAAAUCCCAAAGCUCAACACACAAACAGAUAGAGGAGCAAGCAGACACAGAUGUCUUUUAGUGAAAAUAGCUGUAGCAGCAACAGUUGAAGGAAAUCCAUUUCAAAAGCUAAAACUGCUGCCUGAAAAGGGGUUCCAGCCACUAACCUGGGAGUCUUAUCUGAGGAAAGGAAUGGAAAACCCUUUGCCACUGGAGGCUUAGCCUCUACACUGUCUUGUUUGGCAGAGCCUGGAUAGGGAUGCAGACAGUUUCUGCCAUCAGAGGAGUCUCUGACUCCCAGCUGUGUCUGGCUGCUUGGUUCAGGUUGUAAAUUCUGUCAUGAAACACAGCUGACCUUUAAUGAACAUGUCUUCUCCAUAUGCAUAGGGUCAAUCACAGUGAACACGAACACCCUUCCUGGGUCUGGUUGGUCUCCAGCUAUUACAGUAGUAAACGUGAUGAACUGCAGCCAUAAAAAGCAAUUUCAUUCUGACUGGUAACCUCACAAAAGGAAAGAAAGUUAAAUAAACCAAAGCAUGGGCUGCA